This 305-nucleotide ribosomal RNA is filed under the name uncultured bacterium. RNAcentral's name for it is "bacterial SSU rRNA". It matches the Rfam family "Bacterial small subunit ribosomal RNA", at positions 334 to 656 of the family's 1533-position model. The record is from RNAcentral.
UGGCCCUACGGGACGCAGCAGUGGGGGAUAUUGCACAAUGGGGGAAACCCUGAUGCAGCGACGCCGCGUGUAGGAAGACGGUCCUCUGGAUUGUAAACUACUGUCCCCAGGGACGAAGAUGACGGUACCUGGGGAGGAAGCUCCGGCUAACUACGUGCCAGCAGCCGCGGUAAUACGUAGGGAGCGAGCGUUGUCCGGAAUUACUGGGUGUAAAGGGAGCGUAGGCGGGGAUGCAAGGUGGGUGUUAAAUCUACCGGCUCAACUGGUAGGCGCACUCAAAACUGCAGCUCUUGAGUGAAGUAGAG